Molecule: long non-coding RNA, 903 nt
Organism: Arabidopsis lyrata subsp. lyrata
Lineage: Eukaryota; Viridiplantae; Streptophyta; Magnoliopsida; Brassicales; Brassicaceae
Exons: 3
Source: RefSeq, a predicted model, not a curated record
GCCAGUUACUUUGACCCCAAUUAAUAACGUAAGUGAAUUUUCCAUUUUUCUCAACUAGCUUAAAUUGACGUAAGUGAAUUUCCAUUCUUUUCAUAAGAGUGCCGUUAGUGAUUUUCCUUUUUUUUCACAGCUUCCAUUAUUUCUUCAUUUUUUUUACUACUGCGUAUCAGGUGCCUCUAUUUAUAUACGAGAGUUUCUCCCCAAAGAUUAAAAUUGUCUGCAACUACAAUCUCUUACACUUGUUCGUCGUCUUCAUUCUCUCUAAUUCUCUCAGCACACAUAUUUGAUUGACUAAAAGAUCACCGAUCUCAGCCUGAGAGAGCCAUCUAUCUACGAUCAGGUAUGAUUCAUCUGGGUCUCUGCUUCAAGCGAGAAAGGACGACGAUUCUCCCGGAUCCUUUGAAACCAAAGAGCUAUGGGUUCUUCUGACUGUUUGAUAACACGUGAAUGCUUCAAUCUCGAUCAUAAAUUGGUAUCACUCUCUGUCCUUAAGCAAUUUCAUCACAUACUGUCUUGUUUAGCUUAGGGUUUUGUUUACCUGUUUGUCCUUAAGCCAAUCUUAUUGUUCACUAUUUUGGAAUUUUGGAAUUUAGGGAUUUUUUAGCCUCUUGGUUAAUUUGUUACCUCAAUUUUUUUGAAUUUUUUAUUCUCUCUCUUUUUUUUUUUCUAGCAAAGGUUUUUUAUUUAUUUUUAUUAAAGUUUUUAUUAUAUAAAAUAUUUUGGUUUUCAAAAAAUUUAAGUGUUGAAUUUUAAUGCAUUGAAAACAAACCGGACUAAGCAUCCCGUCCCAUCCUACGGGUCCGUAAGAGGUGUUAUUAGUUCAACCGCUUUUCACGCAAGUAAAUUUAAACCUUAGAUUAAUUUUUAUGAUUUUUUACAAAUAUUUUUUAUUAUGUAAACUAU